AGGACGAACGCUGGCGGCGUGCUUAACACAUGCAAGUCGAACGGUAAGGCCCCUUCGGGGGGUACACGAGUGGCGAACGGGUGAGUAACACGUGGGUAAUCUGCCCUGCACUUCGGGAUAAGCCUGGGAAACUGGGUCUAAUACCGGAUAUGAACUCCUGCCGCAUGGUGGGGGUUGGAAAGUUUUUCGGUGCAGGAUGAGCCCGCGGCCUAUCAGCUUGUUGGUGGGUAAUGGCCUACCAAGGCGACGACGGUAGCCGGCCUGAGAGGGUGAUCGGCCACACUGGGACUGAGACACGGCCCAGACUCCGUACGGGAGGCAGCGAGUGGGGAAUAUUGCACAAUGGGCGAAAGCCUGAUGCAGCGACGCCGGCGGUGGGGAUGACGGUC
Molecule: ribosomal RNA, 389 nt
Filed under: uncultured soil bacterium
Lineage: Bacteria
Description: bacterial SSU rRNA
Rfam family: Bacterial small subunit ribosomal RNA
Source: RNAcentral